AGUGAACGCUGGCGAUAGGCCUAACACAUGCAAGUCGAACGGCAGCACAGUAAGAGCUUGCUCUUACGGGUGGCGAGUGGCGGGCGGGUGAGGAAUACAUCGGAAUCUACUUUUUCGUGGGGGAUAACGUAGGGAAACUUACGCUAAUACCGCAUACGACCUACGGGUGAAAGCAGGGGAUCUUCGGACCUUGCGCGAUUGAAUGAGCCGAUGUCGGAUUAGCUAGUUGGCGGGGUAAAGGCCCACCAAGGCGACGAUCCGUAGCUGGUCUGAGAGGAUGAUCAGCCACACUGGAACUGAGACACGGUCCAGACUCCUACGGGAGGCAGCAGUGGGGAAUAUUGGACAAUGGGCGCAAGCCUGAUCCAGCCAUACCGCGUGGGUGAAGAAGGCCUUCGGGUUGUAAAGCCCUUUUGUUGGGAAAGAAAAGCAGCAGGUUAAUACCCCGCUGUUCUGACGGUACCCAAAGAAUAAGCACCGGCUAACUUCGU
Molecule: ribosomal RNA, 491 nt
Filed under: uncultured bacterium
Lineage: Bacteria
Description: partial 16S ribosomal RNA
Rfam family: Bacterial small subunit ribosomal RNA
Source: RNAcentral